CGCAUCUUGCGCUCCUUGGUAUUCCGAGGAGCAUGCCUGUUUGAGUGUCAUUAAUUUCUCAACCUCACCAGCUUUUGUUGGUCCUGAGGCUUGGAUAUGGGGGUUUGCUGGCUUCUAACGAGGUCGGCUCCUCUGAAAUGCAUUAGCGGUGCCCUGGUGGAACCGACUAUCAGUGUGAUAAUUAUCUACGCUGUUAGGCGACCACGCUUUCAAGGGGUUGUGCUGCUUCUAACCGUCCGUUCUGGACAACGCAAUGACAAUUUUGACCUCAAAUCAGGUAGGACUACCCGCUGAACUUAA
Molecule: unclassified non-coding RNA, 300 nt
Filed under: Simocybe rhabarbarina
Lineage: Eukaryota; Fungi; Basidiomycota; Agaricomycetes; Agaricales; Crepidotaceae
Description: partial contains 5.8S ribosomal RNA, internal transcribed spacer 2, and large subunit ribosomal RNA
Source: RNAcentral